This 460-nucleotide ribosomal RNA is filed under the name uncultured bacterium. Its description in RNAcentral is "partial 16S ribosomal RNA". It matches the Rfam family "Bacterial small subunit ribosomal RNA", at positions 338 to 795 of the family's 1533-position model. The record is from RNAcentral.
CCUACGGGUGGCAGCAGUGAGGAAUAUUGGUCAAUGGGCGUAAGCCUGAACCAGCCGAGUCGCGUGAGGGAUGAAGGUUCUAUGGAUCGUAAACCUCUUUUAUAAGGGAAUAAAGUGCGGGACGUGUCCAGUUUUGUAUGUACCAUAUGAAUAAGGAACGGCUAACUCCGUGCCAGCAGCCGAGGUAAUACGGAGGCUCCGAGCGUUAUCCGGAUUUAGUGGGGUUAAAGGGAGCGUAGGGGGAUUGUGAAGUCAGUUGUGAAAGUUUGCGGCUCAACCGUAAAAUUGCAGUGGAAACUGGUAGUCUUGAGUACAGUAGAGGUAGGCGGAAUUCGUGGUGUAGCGGUGAAAUGCUUAGAUAUCACGAAGAACUCCGAUUGCGAAGGCAGCUCGCUGGACUGCAACUGACGCUGAGGCUCGAAAGUGUGGGUAUCAAACAGGAUUAGAUACCCUGGUAGUC